ACUCUCAUAGCUUAACGGGUAAAGCGUUUGUCAUAUGACAAUCAGAUGUGGGUUCAACUCCCACUGAGAGUU
Molecule: non-coding RNA, 72 nt
Organism: Cymbomonas tetramitiformis
Lineage: Eukaryota; Viridiplantae; Chlorophyta; Pyramimonadophyceae; Pyramimonadales; Pyramimonadaceae
Source: the annotation of a GenBank genome assembly